AUCUUUAGGAUUGUAACGUUUGUUUUGAUAUUAUGUGACUAAUAGAUAUAGAGACUUGAAUAAGGAACAAAAUUGUGAUAAGGGUAUUAAGUGAAGAUAGUACAUGAACCUAAACUCUUACUUGAAUGAUGAAUGACCUUAUUGGAUAAAAAUUAUUGGUGCAUAUGUUGGAGGAAGAAAGAAAGUACAACCAAAUUACUUGUAAGCAGUGCUUACCUUAACAACCCUAUCCCGAGAUAUUCUCAAAGCCAUCAAAUUCAAUGAUAUUCUUGAGUAAGGGUAUAAUGCUAGUUCUGAUUAGUGAUAAGUCGUUAAUAAUUGAAUUUUUAGAUAUAAGUUUGAUGCCUUAGGAAUACUGAUAAAACCAUAUGUAAAUACGUACAUGCUUUAGAUCAUAAUAAAAAGAUGAGUAACUUAGUACAAAUGUAUAUUUUUCUGUGACCAAAGAAAUGUGUUAUGCAAGGUUUUGAAAUCCAAUCUGCUGACUAAUUGUAUUAUGAAUUAUGAGAUUUCAAAUAUGAAUUUUUUGAGCGAGUCAACGAAAUAGCUUAUUGUUUAGCGCUGCCGACAGAUUUGGAUAGAGUCCACAAUGCUUUAAUGUGUCAAUGCUGAGAAAAUACAUACUAGAUCCUAAUCGUGUGAUUCAACACGAACUCCUAGAGCUUAGAAAUGACCUAACAUAUGAAGGAAGACCGAUUGAAGUUCUCGAUCGACGAGAAAAACAACUUAGGAAUACAGUAAUCCCUAUGGUAAAAGUCCUAUGGGCUAACCAUUCGUCGUCAGAAGCCACUUGGGAAGUAAAAGAUCAAAUGAAAACGAAAUACUCUCACCUCUUUGCUUAGAUGAUGAUUCUGUGAAGUUACUCAUAAUAUGCAUGUGAAUAUUUGACUUUGAAAUUAUGUGCCUGUAUAUAUGUAUAUAUGAGUAAAUGAAAAUAUGAUUAUUGGCUAUCAUUAUUAAGUUUCGAGGACGAAACUUUUUCUAAGGGGGAGAGGAUGUAAUAUCCCGAAAAUUUAAACCUUCCUAAAUUAAUUAAUAAUAAAUAGUGAUUAUAUUUUUCCUUUAAUUAUAAGGUAUGACUAAAUUUUGUUACUCUAUACCCAAGUAAAGUGAUAAUUAAUUCGUUAAAUAAAUAUAUGUUGCAAAUAAUAAUAAAGUUAUGUUAGAUUAGACAUUAACAAUAAAUUAGAGUAAGGAAACAAAGUAGUAAACAAAUUGAUUUCUUUACAAAAUAAUAGUAUUAGGAUUCAAAAAGAAAAAAAAGAAAAGAAAGAAAAGAAAAAGAAAAAAAAAAAAAAAAAAAAAUCAAAAAACAUAUGCUACUGUUUCAUUGUUUUUCCAAAACAACCCGACAACGGAAAUGGUAAUCCAAACCAGAUUUUUUUCACAUAAACAAACUCAACUGCAAUUAGAAACUUCAAUUCAAUUCAAACCCACCUAAAAAUCUGAUUUUUAUACUCAAACCCACCCAAUUUCAGUUUUUCUUCAUCAAAUCAACCCACCAAAUUCAUGAAAUUUAUCCCCCAACUAUGCCUAUAAAUACCCAUUUCUUCCUCCCUCAAUUCACCACCACAACCAUUCCACUUUCUUCGCCGGAAAACCACCACCUUCGCCGGAAAAACGCCUCCAAAACCACCCCCAAAACUUCUGUUUUUGAACCACCACUCUCUCUCCUCUGUUUCGGUCAGCCACCACAACCCCCACCGCAGCACCACUGCCGUCGUACUUCUGCCGCCACACACAACCACCACACCGUCACUCACCCGCACGUUAUCCUCCUUCGUUCGCCACCCUUCCUCUCGCCCAACUCGUCUCUCUUGCUCCCCAUCUCUCUCGUGCUUCCCUCUCUCUCCUCGUGCGCCGCCCAGAAACCACCGGAGUCCCGCGCCUCCAGCAACGCUGCCUCGCCACUGCUGUCGGAGCCCCGACCCCGCGCCCAGCCAGUCUCUCUCCUCUGCUUUCUCCUUUCGGUCCUGCUCAAUUGAGCAGAGAUUAAACGGAAAGGAUAUUACAGCCUCCCCCGGCUUUCAAGGUUAUUAAGCAGGAAUCCAGGUAUGAGCAUAGCCAUUGCAAGUGCGCUGUUAAUAAGGAACAUGUUCAAGGGAAAGUGGCGGUAUCUGGUGUUGGAGAAAUUAUUAUUAUUAUUUGGGUCGAGUAUUUAUGUAUAGAUAUCAAGGACUAUUUAAGGUUGCAUUGUAUUAGUGGGCCAUAUCCCACAUGCUUAAGUUCCAUUUCCGCUGCAAGUAUGUGCAAUUGUGUUUAAUUAAGGUUAUGAAUUUUCGGGCCGUUACAUUUUUUUAGGUUAAUUAGAGUUUUUUAGGAUUUUUUAGGGUUAAUUAACACUAAUGACUAACGGAGUUAACCGCCGUUAGUCAUUAAGUGCAUUAUUUGUCAUUUUUAAAAAAAUUUGGGGUAUCUGGUGAAUUUUUUUAAAAGGUAGGGGUAUCUGGUGAAUUUUUAAAAAAGGUGGGGUAUUUGGUGAAUAAAUUUUUUUUGUCAGGGGUAUUUGGUGAAAAAUCCGUUUCAAUAAUCUAAAUGACAAUUUCUAAUUAAGAACAUUAAUCCAAUUCUAUAACUUACUAUUCAAUAUAACCAGAUAAGGCUUUCCAUUAAUCAAAUGAAACUAAUAAAUUUUAUUGAACUAACUUAAGAACUUCUAAUCAUAAUUCUU
Beta vulgaris subsp. vulgaris (sugar beet) is the source of this 2671-nucleotide long non-coding RNA. RefSeq lists it as uncharacterized. The transcript is spliced from 3 exons. Lineage: Eukaryota; Viridiplantae; Streptophyta; Magnoliopsida; Caryophyllales; Amaranthaceae. The record is from RefSeq and is a predicted model, not a curated record.